Molecule: long non-coding RNA, 8215 nt
Filed under: Sus scrofa (pig)
Lineage: Eukaryota; Metazoa; Chordata; Mammalia; Artiodactyla; Suidae
Description: lncRNA (ENSSSCG00045012662.1)
Source: RNAcentral
UUUCUAGGGCUGUGCCCGCAGCAUAUGGAGAUUCCCAGGCUAGGGGUCGAAUUGGAGCUAUAGCUGCCGGCAGCAACACCAGAUCCAGGCCUCAUCUGCAACCUAUGCUACAGCUCGUGGCAACGCCCCCUGAGUGAGGCCAGGGAUCGAACCCGUGUCCUCAUGGAUACUAGUCAGGUUCGUUAACCACUGAGCCACGACAGGAACUCCAGAAUCUAACUGUCUUAGAAACAUAUGAAACAGCCUCACUGAAGGGCCUGUUUGGACGCAAGACACACUGGAAAUGUGUGCAGUUGGCAAGACUAAGAGAAAAGCGCUGUACUCUAGUGGAUAAAACUGUUUCCUGGGGGAACAUGUGUUAAUAAAUUCUAGAACCACUCUGCACGCAUCCUGGAAUUGAACCAUUAAGUAAAUAAGUGGCAGGUGCUGAGAGCCAGGUUGCUCGCUGUCGGGAGUGGGAGGUUACAGAUAAACAAGGGCAAGAGGCAGAGAUGCUUGGUAAUGGACUGGGGCUGGGACAUCAAUAUAAAUUUGCAUGUAGCUUAACACAGACGCGAAUGGUUCAUGGAGAGCUAGUAACAGAGCACCUUGCCUUGUGAGCUGAAAGCCCCUAGAAGUGAGGGCAUCGCAGUGGCUACGAUCACAUGUGAUCUUGAUUUUCUAACACCCUUUCCCAGGAAAAGAAUCAGCGCUCCUUGGAGAAAUGGCAGAUGGUAGAACUGGGGCAAGACAUACAAGAUGAGCCUGGAGCAGCCUGCAGAGCCGGAAAGUAAGCAGUAUAUGACAUGCACACACGGUGGCAGGUGUAUGACCAAAGGACACAGGAGCCAACUGAAAGAGUUCCCAAUGGCCAAAGCGCGAACAAUUUGAACUACACAAUAAAGGAGCAUUGAGUUAUUAGAGAAAGGCAAGUCAAAACUAGAGUGAGAUAUCGCUUCACACUGGUCAGAAUGGCCACCAUUAAAAAGUCUACAAAUAACAGAUGCUGGAGAGGGUGUGGAGAAAAGGGAACCUUCCUACACUGCUGGUGGGAAUGUGAAUUGGAGCAGCCCCUAUGGAAAACAGUAGGAGGGUUAUCAACAAAAAAAGAGCUAUCACCUGAUCCAGCAAUCCCACUCCUGGGCAUAUAUCGGGAGAAGACCAUAAUUUUAUUUUAUUAUUUUUUUUGUCUUUUUGCCUUUUCUAGNGGCUGCUCCCACGGCAUGUGGAGGCUCCCAGGCUAGGGGUCUAAUCGGAGCUGUAGCCACCAGCCUACGCCAGAGCCACAGCAACGCAUGAUCUGAGUCACGUCUACAACCUACACCACAGUUCAGGACAACGCCGGAUCCUUAUCCCACUGAGCAAGGCCAGGGAUCGAACCCACAACCUCAUGGUUCCUAGUCGGAUUCGUUAACCACUGAGCCACGACGGGAACUCGGAGAAGAUCAUAAUUUGAAAAGGUACACACGCUUCUAUGUUCAGCGCAGCACUAUUUACAGAUCCAAGACAAGGAAGCAAUCUAAAUGCCCAUCAACAGAGGAAUGGGUAAAGAAGACGUGAGAUAUAUAUAUAUGUAUAUAUGAUGGACUAUUACUCAGCCAUAAAAAGAAUGAAAUAAUGCUUUUGGGAGCAACAUAAAUGGACCUAGAGAUUAUCAUACUCGCUAAGGCAGGUGGAGAAAGAAAAAUACCAUACGACGAUACUUACACGUGGAAUCCAAACUACGGUACAAAUGAACUUAGUUGCAAAACAGAAACAGGCCUGCGGACGUAGAAAACGUAUUUAUGUCACCCUAUGGGGAAAGAGGGGAGGGAGGGCAAGUUGGGAGUUUGGGAUGAGCAGAUACCAACUACGCUACCUAAGCUAGAUGAACACUAAGAUCCUGUCGUAUAGCACAGGGAGCAACAUUCAACACCCCUGUAAUAAACCAUUAUGGAAAAGGAUAUUAACAUACUUAUCGAAUGGCUUUGCUGUAUACCUGAAAUGAACACACUAUAAAUCAAGUCUACGUCAGUAAGAAUAAAGCGGCAUUGGAUUACAGCCCAACAUCUUAAAGAAAUGUCCAUGAGUCCAUUCUGACAUAAAUAAAUGAGUAAAUAAACAAAGACGAGGCAAACCUCCCAAGCAGAAGACGUGUGUGUAUGUGUGUGUGUGUCUUUUUAGGGCCACACCCGUGGCAUAGGGAGGUUCCCAGGGUAGAGGGAGAAUCAGAGCUGUAGCUGCUGGCCUACACCACAGCCGCCUGGGAUCUGAGCCAUAUCUGUGAUCUACACCGCAGCUCAUGGCAACGCCAGGGCCUUAACCCACUGAGCGAGACCAGGGAUCCAACCCACGUCCUCAGAGAAACUAGUUGGGUUCGUAACUGCUGAGCCAUGCCGGGAACUCCCAGAAGAUUUAAGUAAUAUAGGCGGACACCCCGCCCUCAGGGACAACUCCCCAUCCCCCAAGUGUGGGUGGCGCAGUGACCUCCUUCCAAAGAUGAUAGCAUGGAAGGGGCGGGGUGGGGGGAAGAGGGACCCCGGGAAGGAGAAUCCAGACAAACACUCCCCAGUGGCAUAAUCAAAGUCAACACCAGCAGGGAGGCGGCUCGGGGAGAGGGCCGAGAAGAAAUGGCACCUCACCCUGUGUUCUCCGUUGUCAGCCCACACCCCGAGUCGAAUCGUGAGAAAGACAUCGGGCAAAUCCCAGCUGAGCCAUGUUACACAGAACACCUGGCAGUGCUCUUCAAACUGCCAACAUUGUCAAGGAGCAAGCCUGUCCCAGCCAAGAGGAGCCAGAGGAGACGUGACCGCUGAGUCCGACACGGUGGCCUUGAUGCGCUCUUGCAACAGAAAAAAGGCAUCAGGGGAAAAACGAGCAAGUCUAAAUAACAACAAAGCUUAUUUGAUUUAUUUUUGCUUUUUUGGUUGCACCUGAAGCACAUAGAAGGGUCCCAGGCCAGGGAUUGAAUCCGAGUGGCACCUGUGACUUACAGCACAGCUGCAGCAAUGCCAGAUCCUUAACUGACAGGGAUCAAACCUCCACAGAGACAAGCCGGUUCAUUAACCCACUGCACUACAGCGGGAACUCCCUAAACUUUAUUAAUUUUUUUAGGGCCACACCUGCGGCAUACGGGGGUUCCCAAGCUAGGGGUGGAAUCGGAGCUGCAGCUGCCGGCCUGCACCACAGCUCAUGGCAACGCCAGAUCCUUAACCCACUGAGCAAGGCCAGGGAUCAAACCCGCAACCGCAUGGUUCCUAGUCAGAUUCCUUAACCGCUGAGCUAUAAUGGGAACUCCCCUUAAAAUUUAUUUUUUAAAAAUACACAACAGCAUAUAAACUGUAUGGGUCCACUUACAUGUAGUUCAAGAAUAGGCAAGACGAAUCAAUGGUGUUAGUGGUUGGAAUAUGGUUACUUGGGGGGGGGGACAGGGAAGCCUGCUGGGGGGGCCACAAGUGGGGGUUCUACACCUGGACUGGAACAGUGGUUGUGAGGCAGAAUAUUAACUCAGGUAGAUCAGCACAGGAGCUGGGCUCCCAACAGGCUUUGACGUGGAUAUUGAUUAACACUUGCAGCUUAAGGGCUCCAGGGAGUAACACCUCCCCAGGCCUUGUUCUAUUAUAGGAAAUGCGCGCGUUCCCCAGACUUUGUUCACUGCAGGAAAUGCGGCUCUCGAGCCCACUCCUCAACUGAUAAAAAGAAAUAAGAGAAGAAAAUGACCGAGAAACCAUAAAACUUACAGGACAUUUCCAACCCUAAGACCCCUAUUGGACAAGGACGGAUAUAGGUGAUGGAGCAAGGCCAACGGGAGAAGACCGCAUCUUUCCGGACCCCACGUUGGUACCCGCCCAUCUUUAAGGAAUAAAAGCCCCUAAAGGACAAUAGGGAAGGGGGCUCUUCUCCCCCCUCCCAGCAGCCCCGGGAGCUAUUUGCUUUCCUUUAAUAAAGACUUUGCCUGCUUGCUGCCCGUGUGUUUGCGGAGUUCAUUCUUCGACUGCGUGAACAAGAACCCGGAUUCCGGGAUCGUCUUUCCGGUAUCAGUUUACACAGGUGUCUACAGCGUGAAAAUUCUUGGAGCUGUUUUCCUCAAGUGUGUGCAGUCACCAUGUUACAUUUUACUUAAAAAGCGACCCCCAAAGUCAACAGCAACAGCAGCAAAACAGCUGCACCUCACCAUUUAGAAAAGCCUGGAGAAAUUUCUGAAAACCCCCAAUGAAGAGAAACAUCUCAAAAGCUUCCAGGAAGAGACAGAAAAGAAACCACUGGUGAAGGAGCAGGAGUCAGCCUGAGCGCAGGCUUCUCGACUGCACCGGGCAAGGAAGACGGGAGCGGGCUGCCAGGCCCACCACACUCUGCCACCUCGGUGUACCCCCAGCCCACCCUGUGCCCCCAGAGCAGGUCUGCCCACUCAGCUCCAGCUGAUCCCGCUGUCGCCCCACCCUCUCCCCACAUCCCCAAAUCUCUUACCUGACGCCUCCUUCAUCUCUCCCCAACCCCUCCCAGGCCAAGCCCAAGUGCAGGCUCCUCCCAGAGGCUUCGGGACCUGAGAGCCUGGGCAAGAGGCUCUGUCCUCCACCGUCUCUGCCAGGCACUGGUCACGCCCUGAGAGAGAAGAAGCCUUGCGCUCUUUUGCAUUAAUCACUAAAGGGAUGUUGCCUAUAAGCGAGCGUAAAUUACACAUAAUGGACCAUGUCUGCGAACCCUGCUUCCCGGAAAUGAAUGUUAAGCUAAAGCACCUUUGUUCUGCUCACAGGGAACACCCUGACCCGGCCCACCUGUGAACUGCUGCAGCAGGAAGAACCAAACACAUCCUCCGAGCUCCCUUGCGGCACAGCGGAAAUGAAUCCAACUAGGAGCCAUGAGGUUGUGGGUUUGAUUCCUGGCCUCCAUCAGUGGGUUAAGGAUCCAGCAUUGCUGUGAGCUGUGGCGUGGGUCACAGAUGUGGCUCGGAUCCUGCAUGGCUGUGGCUGGGGGGUAGGGUGGCAGCUGUAGCUCCAAUCAGACUCCUAGCCUGGGAACCUCCAUAUGCCGUGGGUGUGGCCCUAAAAAGCAAAAAAAAAAAAAAAAAGAAAGAAAGAAACAAACACAUCCUGGCCUGAACCCAGACUCCUCCUCUCCCGCCUCAGUGUAGACACAGCCUGAAUUCCAGCUCAGAGAAGACGCUUCUCAGGACACCUGUCGACCAUUUUCUCGGUCAGCUGGCUUUCUGAGUAAACUCCCUCUUUCUUCCCCAACAACACGUCUCUCGAUUUACCGGCCUGUCACGCCGUAACAACUGCCUCCACGAUCAGAUCACUGUCUUUCCCGUUCUGCCCCAGCGGCAGCACAGCCUCGAGACACAGACCCAGCUGGGAUGGCAGCUCUGCUGCUCACUGCUGGUGGGUGACCUUGGAUGAGCCGUCUCGCCCCCCGGGCCUGGGUUCCCACCCCUGUAAAGUGGAGACAGUUACUCUAAUUCCCAGGGUGGCUGUAAGCAGGAGCCUGUGUGAGCGGCACCCAAGAGCUCGCCUGGCACAUAGUAGGCCCUCAGUCAAGGACACUUGUCAGCUGGGAGAACUGGGCUGCUGACAGGAUUGGUGGAAGCCUCGGGGGCCCUUGGCCAGCCCCAGAGCACGUGUUAUUUAAUUCCUGACUCCUUUGAGUAAGUCAUUUUCAAAUAUAUGGCUUAAGGAGAAAAUUAAAGUCAACCGGAGAGAGAGUCCCAUUGUGGCUCUGCGGUAACAAAACUGACUAGUGUCCAUGAGGACGCGGGUUCAAUCCCUGGCCUCGCUCAGUGGGUUAAGGAUCUGGCGUUGCCAUGAGCUGUGGUGUAAGUUGCAGAUGCAGCUCAGAUCUGGCGUGGCUGUGGCUGUGGCUGUGGCUCUGGUGUAGGCCGGCAGCUGCAGCUCUGAUUUGACCCCAGCCUGGAAACCUCCAUAUGCUGCAAGUAUGGCCCUAAAAAACAAACAAACAAAAAAACCAACUGGAGAAACCCGCCCUGACUCGGCAGUGGGGAGCGUCUUAACCACACACAUGGACGCAAUCGGGUGUGAGUGGUGGAUGUUCAGAGCAUGGGAGGUGGGGUCAGCCCCAUGGGCAGGAGCCAACUCCGAGCCAGAAGUCAGACCCUUCUCCAGACGACACCAGCACCUCUCUUGGGCCAACAGUCAGCAGGGCGCCCCUCUCCCAUUUGGCGGUGGAGGCGUCAGAGGCUCAGCAGGACGGGAGGCCAGAGUUCCAGCCCCUGGCCUAUCUGGCUUGCUCCAUGGGACUGGGGCUUCCAAUUCAAAGUUCUGGAAGGUUCUAGGUCUCCAGGGCCCAAUCCCCAGCCCAGGCCCGGUGUGAGAGUGUGGUAGCCACGCACAGGGGCUGGCACAUGGCAAGCUCCGUCCUCUCCCGUGUCCGUCCACACCUGUCUAGGGGGCCUGUCAAGGUUCACCUGCUCAGGGCCUGCUCUGGACCUGACGGCCUACAGAGCCAUGUUCGGAAGCUUGGAUCUUGUUCAGGGUGUGAGGCCUCUACCUGCCUCCUCUGCCAGCUCUGCUCACUGGAAACACCUGAGCUGGGGACCUGGCGCCGGUCCGUGGAUGGAGGAGACAGGUGGGGGAGAUGCUGGCAGGAUGGCAGGAAGCUCAGCUUCCCCCCACAACACACACACACACACACACACAGACACACACCAUGGAAAUCAGUGUCAACCAGUCAGGGCUCCUGGGAACUCUGUUGGGGCUAGGGUCCCCCUGCAUGGGGGUACAGUGACUUUGAAGAGGAGACCUCCCCAGAAUUCAACAGAAUGGGGGGCAAUGGUAAUGGUGCACCUGCAGGUCCACAGGCCCCACGUGUUCAGAGACACCCAAAUGCCCGGGUGUGGGAGAGCCCUGCCCUUAGGGGGUCUCUCUGGGGUUUAUUUUCCGCUUAACAUGGUUGAUUUUCCCGGGCUAAUAUUCGUGGCCCAUGCAAAUCGCAAGAGUCCCAAAGUCCUCAGACAAGAAGGUCAAGGGUGGGCCCCCGUCCAGCCACUGGCUUCUGACUUCUCUGCUCCUUGGCUUUGCCCUCACCCCCUGGGCAACUUACGGAAUCCCAAGCGGCAGGGGACACCACACCCCAUCACCACCAGCACAACAGCCCUGGCAGUGUGUCAUCAGCCCUGGAGAGCACAGACGCAGCCACUUUGCACGUAUCAGCUGGCCUCACCCACAGCGCAGAAGAUGGGAUGGAAACGUGAAAUACCUGUUGAAAUGCAGGAGGCGGGCCAGAAAAGGCGGCAGGGUUUCUUCUGCAAAACCUGUAAAAAUAAAACGUACGCAGAUUCACCACCAGAGCUGUGUCUGCCUAAAGACACCUACACCAGAGUAUGGUGACGAAGCUCUUUACGCGUCACAAGGGUUCCCAUGUGCGGGAAUUCCCACUGUGGCACAAGGGGAUGGCAGUAUCUCUCUGCUGCUGGGAUGCAGGUUGGAUCCCCAGCCCGGCAUAGAGGGUGAAGGAUCCGGCGUUUCCCCCGCUGCAGCCCAUGUAGCAACUUUGGUUCGGAUCUGAUCCCUGGCCCAGGAGCUCCAUAUGCUGUGGGGCGACCAAAAAGGGAGAAAAAAAAAAUGUUCCCAUGUAUCUGCGCGCCCCCCUGUGUCUGUGUGUCCGUGUGACUGUGAGUGCAUCUGUGUGUGUGGCAUCUUGCUCUGUGUGUGUGAGCGUGUGUCCCUGCCUAAGCAAAUGCUGUGGAGAAGUCCUUGGAAGGGUGCUCCCAAAGAAGAGGGGGCAGGGAUUACUUCUGGGGGGAGAGGCUGUGGGACCAAGCAGCGACACCUGCUCCUUUAGCCCAUUGUGCUGGGCCAGGCUCGAACCUGAGUCCGGUGCAAAGACAACCCUUCUGCCAAUCAGGAAUCCCAGAAUCCCCUUCCGCCACAGCAGGAAUUCCCAGGGCUGUUAUUUUAAUGCUUCUGCCCGGUUCGAGGUUUACAAGCCUAGAUCCUUUAAAAGAAUGCCAUCGAGCCAUCAGCCCCUGCAGCCCCCCACUACUGUGUGCCCUGAGGGGAAUUUGGGAUGAGGGAGGGGGGCCUGGAUGCUGACACUAGGCAGUUAAGAUGCAGAUCAAAGAAACGAUUUUAAGGAGCCCAGACUCUCCCGUCUUCCUUUAGUGCCACAGAAAAGCACUAAAAUCAUUAACUUGAGAUGCCUGGGUUUUGUAAUUAGCAGUCAUCUUUUGAUGUUCAACUACAGGGGGAUUUUUUUUUUUUUUUUUUUUUUUUUCAGCAAAAACUCCUGCCUAUCCUGCCCCUUG